CCUACGGGAGGCAGCAGUGAGGAAUAUUGGUCAAUGGACGAGAGUCUGAACCAGCCAAGUAGCGUGAAGGAUGACUGCCCUAUGGGUUGUAAACUUCUUUUAUAUGGGAAUAAAACGUUCCACGUGUGGGAUUUUGUAUGUACCAUAUGAAUAAGGAUCGGCUAACUCCGUGCCAGCAGCCGCGGUAAUACGGCGGAUCCGAGCGUUAUCCGGAUUUAUUGGGUUUAAAGGGUGCGUAGGUGGAUUGUUAAGUCAGUUGUGAAAGUUUGCGGCUCAACCGUAAAAUUGCAGUUGAAACUGGCAGUCUUGAGUACAGUAGAGGUGGGCGGAAUUCGGGGUGUAGCGGUGAAAUGCUUAGAUAUCACGAAGAACUCCGAUUGCGAAGGCAGUUCACUGGACUGCAACUGACACUGAGGCUCGAAAGUGUGGGUAUCAAACAGGAUUAGAUACCCUGGUAGUC
Molecule: ribosomal RNA, 460 nt
Filed under: uncultured bacterium
Lineage: Bacteria
Description: partial 16S ribosomal RNA
Rfam family: Bacterial small subunit ribosomal RNA
Source: RNAcentral